Molecule: transfer RNA, 73 nt
Filed under: Zootermopsis nevadensis
Lineage: Eukaryota; Metazoa; Arthropoda; Insecta; Blattodea; Termopsidae
Rfam family: tRNA
About the family: Transfer RNA (tRNA) molecules are approximately 80 nucleotides in length.
Source: Rfam by way of RNAcentral
GCCACGGUGGUCUAGUGGUUAGAACGCUGGCCUUGUAAUCCUGGGGUCCCGGGUUCAAUUCCCGGUGGUGCUC